UUCCCGGAGCCUUGAGCUCCUUGAAGGGUCGUUCGAGACCAGGACGUUGAUAGGUCAGGUGUGGAAGUGCAGUAAUGCAUUAAGCUAACUGAUACUAAUUGCCCGUACGGCUUGUCCCUAUAACCUUAGCAGGUUAUA
RNAcentral lists this ribosomal RNA (138 nucleotides) under Duganella rivi. Its description in RNAcentral is "partial 23S ribosomal RNA". The stretch from base 1 to 119 matches the Rfam family "Bacterial large subunit ribosomal RNA", at positions 2811 to 2925 of the family's 2925-position model. Lineage: Bacteria; Pseudomonadati; Pseudomonadota; Betaproteobacteria; Burkholderiales; Oxalobacteraceae. The record is from RNAcentral.